UUCGCAAUGCCCGAAAGGGUGACGAAGCGACGCCGCGUGGGUGAGGAAGGCCUUCGGGUUGUAAAGCCCUGUCAGGAGUUAAGAAAUGUAGGUGCGCUAAUAUCGUGCCUAUUUGACAAAGGCUCCAAAGGAAGCCACGGCUAACUCUGUGCCAGCAGCCGCGGUAAUACAGAGGUGGCAAGCGUUGUUCGGAAUUAUUGGGCGUAAAGAGCACGUAGGUGGUUUUGUAAGUCAGGUGUGAAAGCCUUCUGUUCAAAGGAAGAACGGCAUCUGAAACUGCAGAUCUUGAGUGUAGGAGGGGAGAGUGGAACUUCUGGUGGAGCGGUGAAAUGCGUAGAUAUCAGAAGGAACGUCGGCGGCGAAAGCGACUCUCUGGCCUAUUACUGACACUGAGGUGCGAAAGUUAGGGGAGCAAACGGGAUUAGAUACCCCGGUAGUCCUAACCGUAAACGAUGGGCACUAAGUAGAGGGGUUUU
This 476-nucleotide ribosomal RNA is filed under the name uncultured anaerobic ammonium-oxidizing bacterium. RNAcentral describes it as "bacterial SSU rRNA". It matches the Rfam family "Bacterial small subunit ribosomal RNA", at positions 365 to 832 of the family's 1533-position model. The record is from RNAcentral.